AGAUUAGAACUCCUCAUAGGGUCGUCACAGACGAUGACGUUGAUAGGGUGCAGGUGUAAAGACAGCGAUGUCAAAGCCGAGCACUACUAAUUGCCCGAARCUUUCAUU
RNAcentral lists this ribosomal RNA (108 nucleotides) under Prevotella intermedia. Its description in RNAcentral is "partial 23S ribosomal RNA". It matches the Rfam family "Bacterial large subunit ribosomal RNA", at positions 2802 to 2925 of the family's 2925-position model. Lineage: Bacteria; Pseudomonadati; Bacteroidota; Bacteroidia; Bacteroidales; Prevotellaceae. The record is from RNAcentral.